RNAcentral lists this ribosomal RNA (301 nucleotides) under uncultured bacterium. Its description in RNAcentral is "partial 16S ribosomal RNA". It matches the Rfam family "Bacterial small subunit ribosomal RNA", at positions 509 to 807 of the family's 1533-position model. The record is from RNAcentral.
CAGCAGCCACGGUAAUACGAAGGGUGCAAGCGUUACUCGGAAUUACUGGGCGUAAAGCGUGCGUAGGUGGUGGUUUAAGUCCGUUGUGAAAGCCCUGGGCUCAACCUGGGAAUUGCAGUGGAUACUGGGCCACUAGAGUGUGGUAGAGGAUAGUGGAAGUUCCGGUGUAGCAGUGAAAUGCGUAGAGAUCGGAAGGAACAUCUGUGGCGAAGGCGACUAUCUGGGCCAACACUGACACUGAGGCACGAAAGCGUGGGGAGCAAACAGGAUUAGAGACCCCCGUAGUCCCUGUCUCUUAUAC